RNAcentral lists this ribosomal RNA (595 nucleotides) under uncultured Bacteroidota bacterium. Its description in RNAcentral is "bacterial SSU rRNA". It matches the Rfam family "Bacterial small subunit ribosomal RNA", at positions 122 to 715 of the family's 1533-position model. Lineage: Bacteria; Pseudomonadati; Bacteroidota. The record is from RNAcentral.
CAACCUGCUGUCUACUCUUGGACAGCCUUCUGAAAGGAAGAUUAAUACAAGAUGGCAUCAUGAGUCCGCAUGUUCACAUGAUUAAAGGUAUUCCGGUAGACGAUGGGGAUGCGUUCCAUUAGAUAGUAGGCGGGGUAACGGCCCGCCUAGUCUUCGAUGGAUAGGGGUUCUGAGAGGAAGGUCCCCCACAUUGGAUCUGAGACACGGUCCAAACUCCUACGGGAGGCAGCAGUGAGGAAUAUUGGUCAAUGGGCGAGAGCCUGAACCAGCCAAGUAGCGUGAAGGAUGACUGCCCUAUGGGUUGUAAACUUCUUUUAUAAAGGAAUAAAGUCGGGUAUGGAUACCCGUUUGCAUGUACUUUAUGAAUAAGGAUCGGCUAACACCGUGCCAGCAGCCGCGGUAAUACGGAGGAUCCGAGCGUUAUCCGGAAUUAUUGGGUCUAAAGGGAGCGUAGAUGGAUGUUUAAGUCAGUUGUGAAAGUUUGCGGCUCAACCGUAAAAUUGCAGUUGAUACUGGAUGUCUUGAGUGCAGUUGAGGCAGGCGGAAUUCGUGGUGUAGUGGUGAAAUGCUUAGAUAUCACGAAGAACUCCGAUUG